This 433-nucleotide ribosomal RNA is filed under the name uncultured bacterium. RNAcentral describes it as "partial 16S ribosomal RNA". It matches the Rfam family "Bacterial small subunit ribosomal RNA", at positions 29 to 507 of the family's 1533-position model. The record is from RNAcentral.
AACGAACGCUGGCGGCAUGCCUAACACAUGCAAGUCGAACGAGACCUUCGGGUCUAGUGGCGCACGGGUGCUUAACGCGUGGGAACCUGCCCUUAGGUUCGGAAUAACUCCCCGAAAGGGGUGCUAAUACCGGAUAAUGUCUUCGGACCAAAGAUUUAUCGCCUUUGGAUGGGCCCGCGUUGGAUUCGCUAGUUGGUAGGGUAAAAGCCUAGCAAGGCGACGAUCCAUAGCUGGUCUGAGAGGAUGAUCAGCCACACUGGGAAUGAGACACGGCCCAGACUCCUACGGGAGGCAGCAGUGGGGAAUAUUGGACAAUGGGCGAAAGACUGAUCCAGCAAUGCCGGGUGAGUGAUGAAGGCCUUAGGGUUGUAAAGCUCUUUUAGCCGGGAUGAUAAUGACAGUACCGGGAGAAUAAGCUCCGGCUAACUACGUG